GAUAACAAAUGUUUUCUUGCACUUGUUAUUCUUCAGGUUUCUGCAACCAUUUCCGCUAGCAUGAUGCGACAGGCCUGUAUCGACCUCUGCUGGGUUGAUUACGUCAUAUCUUUAAGACCCAUAUACUCAUUCAAAGCCGGCUCCCGCAACUUCCGUCACAGAGGCUUUAUUUUCGCCGAUUGUGGUAUGUUGAUGACGUAACAGCCCUCCUCGACAACUUCCGGUUAGGAGCUGAGCAUCACAGAGGUUUUAUGUGGACAUGAACACGUCAGAUACAUCUACAUACAGAGAGAAAACGAAGAAUGUGUUUUAACAGUUUGUCUGACUCAGUGACUAAAAUGACUGUAUGUUCGG
Long non-coding RNA from Mya arenaria, 354 nucleotides. RefSeq lists it as uncharacterized. The record is from RefSeq and is a predicted model, not a curated record. The transcript is spliced from 3 exons. NCBI's taxonomy places the organism in Eukaryota, Metazoa, Mollusca, Bivalvia, Myida, Myidae.